Molecule: ribosomal RNA, 422 nt
Filed under: uncultured archaeon
Lineage: Archaea
Description: partial 16S ribosomal RNA
Rfam family: Archaeal small subunit ribosomal RNA
Source: RNAcentral
CUACGGGUUGCUGCAGGCGAGAAAACUUUGCAAUGUGCGAAAGCACGACAAGGUUAAUCCGAGUGGUUUCUGCUAAAGGAACCUUUUGUCGGUCCUAGAAACACCGAUGAAUAAGGGGUGGGCAAGUUCUGGUGUCAGCCGCCGCGGUAAAACCAGCACCUCAAGUGGUCAGGAUGAUUAUUGGGCCUAAAGCAUCCGUAGCCGGCUCUGUAAGUUUUCGGUUAAAUCUGUAUGCUCAACAUACAGGCUGCCGGGAAUACUGCAUAGCUAGGGAGUGGGAGAGGUAGACGGUACUCGGUAGGAAGGGGUAAAAUCCUUUGAUCUAUUGAUGACCACCUGUGGCGAAGGCGGUCUACCAGAACACGUCCGACGGUGAGGGAUGAAAGCUGGGGGAGCAAACCGGAUUAGAUACCCGUGUAGUC